ACAGAUUGCUGACGACCGGCGCACGGUGAGUAACGCGUAUACAAUUGCCUUUACUGAAGAAUAGCCCAGAGAAAUUGGAUUAAUGCUUCAUAGUAUUAUUUGGUCACCUGGCCGAGUAAUUAAAGCUCCGGCGGUAAAAGAUGAGUAUGCGUCCUAUUAGCUAGAUGGUAAGGUAACGGCUUACCAUGGCGACGAUAGGUAGGGGUCCUGAGAGGGAGAUCCACCCACACUGGUACUGAGACACGACCAGACUCUACGGGAGGCAGCAGUGAGGAAUAUUGVGCAAUGGARGCAACUCUGACCCAGCCAUGCCGCGUGCAGGAAGACUGCCCUAUGGGUUGUAAACUGCUNUUAUACAGGAAGARACUUACCCACGUGUGGGUAACUGACGGUACUGUAAGAAUAAGGACCGGCUAACUCCGUGCCAGCAGCCGCGGUAAUACGGAGGGUCCAAGCGUUAUCCGGAAUCAUUGGGUUUAAAGGGUCCGUAGGCGGGCAAUUAAGUCAGAGGUGAAAUCCCACAGCUCAACUGUGGAACUGCCUUUGAUACUGGUUGUCUUGAGUUACAGUGAAGUAGAUAGAAUAUGUAGUGUAGCGGUGAAAUGCAUAGAUAUUACAUAGAAUACCGAUYGCGAAGGCAGUCUACUAACUGUANACUGACGCUAAUGRASGAAAGCGU
This 679-nucleotide ribosomal RNA is filed under the name Lutimonas sp. SK3. Its description in RNAcentral is "bacterial SSU rRNA". It matches the Rfam family "Bacterial small subunit ribosomal RNA", at positions 80 to 762 of the family's 1533-position model. Lineage: Bacteria; Pseudomonadati; Bacteroidota; Flavobacteriia; Flavobacteriales; Flavobacteriaceae. The record is from RNAcentral.